Ictalurus punctatus (channel catfish) is the source of this 506-nucleotide long non-coding RNA. Lineage: Eukaryota; Metazoa; Chordata; Actinopteri; Siluriformes; Ictaluridae. The record is from Ensembl.
GAUAGGCUGGGGAGCUUCAGAAGAGAAGAGACACAGACGUACACAGGCAUGGGGAAAGAGCUGAGGCAGUGGUGUGUGGAUGUGUGUGUGGAUGUGGUGGGGGCAGACAUGCUUUCCCAGGCAGAGAAGACAAAUGCAGAAUGAUAGGUUGGAGGAGCCUCAUAGGACCUGAUUUACUUCCACAAAAGGACACGGAAAUCGUCACGGAUACGAGGGAUGUGAGCGUGGACCCGACGGAUCUCCCGAUCGUCCGCAAGCCUGCGGUCAGACUAGCGAACAGACGAUGGCUCGUUUUCGGCGUGCUCUGUUCCGGGGAUAACGACGAGCAACGAAGCGACAGUGCAACAUAUGACGUGAGGUGAGAAUUUCUCGACUGUACGCAAAUGAGGCAUGACGUGGUAAAGCAGCGGAUCCAAAUAAACGGCUCGAAAGGUUCCUCAGACUUCGGCGUCUAUCAUAUGGCGUGCGUGGUACAACAUCUUUUUGCACCCCACCACCCACUUUAC